Molecule: ribosomal RNA, 228 nt
Filed under: uncultured bacterium
Lineage: Bacteria
Description: partial 16S ribosomal RNA
Rfam family: Bacterial small subunit ribosomal RNA
Source: RNAcentral
CGGGUGAGUAAUGUCUGGGAAACUGCCUGAUGGAGGGGGAUAACUACUGGAAACGGUAGCUAAUACCGCAUAACGUCGCAAGACCAAAGAGGGGGACCUUCGGGCCUCUUGCCAUCGGAUGUGCCCAGAUGGGAUUAGCUAGUAGGUGGGGUAAUGGCUCACCUAGGCGACGAUCCCUAGCUGGUCUGAGAGGAUGACCAGCCAUACUGGAACUGAGACACGGUCCAG